ACUCAUAUAGCCUUAGUGGUUAGAGCAUCUGCCUCUGAUGCAGGAGGUCAUGGGUUCAAACCUUGGUAGAGUA
Non-coding RNA from Potamilus streckersoni, 73 nucleotides. NCBI's taxonomy places the organism in Eukaryota, Metazoa, Mollusca, Bivalvia, Unionida, Unionidae. The record is from the annotation of a GenBank genome assembly.